RNAcentral lists this ribosomal RNA (252 nucleotides) under uncultured bacterium. RNAcentral describes it as "partial 16S ribosomal RNA". It matches the Rfam family "Bacterial small subunit ribosomal RNA", at positions 524 to 776 of the family's 1533-position model. The record is from RNAcentral.
UACGGAGGAUGCGAGCGUUAUCCGGAUUUAUUGGGUUUAAAGGGUGCGUAGGCGGACGCUUAAGUCAGCGGUAAAGUUGCGGGGCUCAACCUCGUCGAGCCGUUGAAACUGGGUGCCUUGAGUGGGCGAGAAGUACGCGGAAUGCGUGGUGUAGCGGUGAAAUGCAUAGAUAUCACGCAGAACUCCGAUUGCGAAGGCAGCGUACCGGCGCCCUACUGACGCUGAAGCACGAAGGCGUGGGUAUCGAACAGG